This 575-nucleotide long non-coding RNA is filed under the name Homo sapiens (human). Its description in RNAcentral is "non-protein coding lnc-EFR3A-11:1". The record is from RNAcentral. Lineage: Eukaryota; Metazoa; Chordata; Mammalia; Primates; Hominidae.
AUGGGUACACACAAGUCCAUCCAGGAGGCAUGGAGGAAGAAGUAGUUUGAUGUAGUGUGCUUUCACUGAUGGCAGUACCAUCAGCUCUCUUCUCUCCACAGAGAUCCUGGCCCCACCCAGCCCAAUAAAGUGUGCAGACUAGGCCACACAAGGUUAUGUCAUAUAUAGGAUUUGUGUGUACUGUGGCGGCUGAAAAUGCCCAGUUCCUAAGGGUGCAAUGUAUGGGUAGCCUGUCCUUUAUGGUGGUAAUCUGCUGAAGUUUGCUCAAAGCCUUCGGUACAUUGCUAAGGAGUGAGCUGGACACCACUGUGGGGCCGCGUCCUGAAUUCUUACUGGGUUGGUGAAGAUUCCACGUACACAUUUUUGAGGUUUUCCUCAUUGAUCAAUUCCAUAAAGCUAUAGAAGAAGUCCUGACACCCAACAGAUCACCAUACCAGUCUAUAAGCACAGGGUGAUGCGUGGGCUGACAUCUGCCAGCUGAAAGAGCAAUGGCUUGGAUGGUCCCUAAAUUCCACAAAACUAUGUCUGGUUCUUGCCAUGCAGCUUGGAGAAGGUAGAAUGCUCUCCAGCUCCAC